RNAcentral lists this ribosomal RNA (459 nucleotides) under uncultured bacterium. Its description in RNAcentral is "partial 16S ribosomal RNA". It matches the Rfam family "Bacterial small subunit ribosomal RNA", at positions 338 to 795 of the family's 1533-position model. The record is from RNAcentral.
CCUACGGGUGGCAGCAGUGAGGAAUAUUGGUCAAUGGGCGCGAGCCUGAACCAGCCAAGUAGCGUGAAGGAUGACUGCCCUACGGGUUGUAAACUUCUUUUAUAAAGGAAUAAAGUGAGGCACGUGUGCCUUUUUGUAUGUACUUUAUGAAUAAGGAUCGGCUAACUCCGUGCCAGCAGCCGCGGUAAUACGGAGGAUCCGAGCGUUAUCCGGAUUUAUUGGGUUUAAAGGGAGCGUAGAUGGGUUGUUAAGUACGUGUUGAAAGUUUGCGGCUCAACCCCGGCCUGCCGUUGAAACUGGCGGCCUCGAGUGGGCGAGAAGUAUGCGGAAUGCGUGGUGUAGCGGGGAAAUGCAUAGAUAUCACGCAGAACUCCGAUUGCGAAGGCAGCAUACCGGCGCCCGACUGACGCUGAGGCACGAAAGCGUGGGUAUCGAACAGGAUUAGAUACCCGUGUAGUC